GAAGCUUGCUUCCGAUAGGCGUCGACCGGCGCACGGGUGAGUAACGCGUAUCCAACCUGCCCAUCACUUGGGGAUAACCUUGCGAAAGUAAGACUAAUACCCAAUGAUAUUUAUAGAAGGCAUCCGAAAUGAAUUAAAGAUUUAUCGGUGAUGGAUGGGGAUGCGUCUGAUUAGCUUGUUGGCGGGGUAACGGCCCACCAAGGCGACGAUCAGUAGGGGUUCUGAGAGGAAGGUCCCCCACAUUGGAACUGAGACACGGUCCAAACUCCUACGGGAGGCAGCAGUGAGGAAUAUUGGUCAAUGGGCGAGAGCCUGAACCAGCCAAGUAGCGUGCAGGAUGACGGCCCUAUGGGUUGUAAACUGCUUUUAUAGGGGAAUAAAGUGAGCCACGUGUGGUUUUUUGCAUGUACCCUAUGAAUAAGGACCGGCUAAUUCCGUGCCAGCAGCCGCGGUAAUACGGAAGGUCCGGGCGUUAUCCGGAUUUAUUGGGUUUAAAGGGAGCGUAGGCCGGAGAUUAAGCGUGUUGUGAAAUGUAGAUGCUCAACAUCUGAACUGCAGCGCGAACUGGUUUCCUUGAGUACGCAUAAAGUGGGCGGAAUUCGUGGUGUAGCGGUGAAAUGCUUAGAUAUUAGGAGGAACACCAGUGGCGA
This 650-nucleotide ribosomal RNA is filed under the name uncultured Bacteroidales bacterium. RNAcentral's name for it is "bacterial SSU rRNA". It matches the Rfam family "Bacterial small subunit ribosomal RNA", at positions 69 to 718 of the family's 1533-position model. The record is from RNAcentral. Lineage: Bacteria; Pseudomonadati; Bacteroidota; Bacteroidia; Bacteroidales.